Molecule: non-coding RNA, 3072 nt
Organism: Monodelphis domestica (gray short-tailed opossum)
Lineage: Eukaryota; Metazoa; Chordata; Mammalia; Didelphimorphia; Didelphidae
Source: RefSeq, a predicted model, not a curated record
AGCCAUUUUAUUUCUACGAAAUUACCUUCCAAAAAGCUAUGACAUAAUGUCACAAAAUGAAUUCAGAAGCAUCACAACACACCAAAAGACAAGGUGAAAUAAUUGUUUAACUCAAAACUUAGAAAGAAGGCCAGUCUAAGAGAUCUACUGCACCAGGGUGGAAGUGGAACACAGUGUGCCAGAGCAAGCCCUAGGAAGCUGACCAGUAUUUCAAUGGGAAACAUGGGCCUGCUUUUGGCUAAUGAGAUGGUCAAUGUUUCAUUUUUGUCACUGCUAACCAUAACAAGUGAUGCAAGUGUGCAACAGUUAAUCUAGAUCUGGUUGGAGAUUUCAGAUAUUUCAUUCUGGAAAAUGUCUGUUCACAGAAAUAAGUGCUGCCACAGAUGGUUGCCAUUUUGAGUGAAAGGUUCCUGAGAUUAGGGUAUGUCUCAUGCAUCCUGUGCUCCUUUCACUGACCACCAAUGAACUACAUGCCCCUUCAGGAAGUGGGGACCAGAUAAAUGGCCUCAGGGGUCCUCAUGGGGCCUGAGGGCAGUAGUUUGGAGACCCCAAAUUAGAAUGAUCAGAAAAGCAUACCAUAGAAGAUUUUAAAUGAGCUGAGCCUUGAAAGAAGCUAAUGAUUUUAAGUUGUUCAGGUGAGGGAUUGUCUUCCAAAACAGGGGCAGGCUAUACAAAGGCAUUGAGGUGGGAAAUGGGAUGCUGAAUCUGGAAAGACAAACUGGUUAGUUCGGCCAGAAAGUAAAGAAUGGGAAGGAGAGUAAUGUGAAUAGACCUGGAAAGGAAAGUUGAAAUCAUCAUGGGAAGAUUUUAAAUGCUCAGCUUAGGAGUUUUAAUCUUGUUCUAAAACAGGGAUUCUUAACCUGGCUUGUUUAAUAUUUUGAUAACUGUAUUUCAACAUAAUUGGUUUCUUUUGUAAUCCUAUAUCUUUUACACAUUGGAAAAAUAUUUUUCUGAGAAGGGGUUUAUAGACUUCACCAGAUUAAUGAAAGCUGUGACAUACAACAAAGGUUAAGAACAUCUGUUCUAAUGGCAAUAGAUUCUUAAAGGUUUUCUAGUAGUGAUAAGGUCAGAUUUUUGCUUUGAGAAAAUAUGUUGGCAGUUUGGAGAAUGAAUUGGAGAAGGGAGAGACCAGGAACUAGGAGUUCAGGUACAAGGCUGCUAGUAUUAAAGGUGAGGAUGGCCAAGAUAGGGUGUUGGCUUUGGAAGAGGAGAGAUUUGAGAGUAUUGUAGAAGUAGAAUAAGUAAUUUUUGGCAACCUCUUGAUUGACAGCUAUGCCACUGAUAUUUAUUUCUCAGAGCUAACCAAUAUGCCAUACCCAGAGUCAGGACCUCCUACAAGUAUGUAGAAUUAUAUAUUACAAUUAUUAUUACAAUAAUAACAAAAAUAAAUGUUAUAAUUACAGUAGAAGUCUGAACCUCUUUUGCACAAGAGGAAAAUGGGACUUGGUGCUUGCUAAAACAUGAAUACUCAUAAAGAUUUUUUCUCCUUUCUUCCCUCCCUCCUUCCCUCUUCCCUUUCUUUUUUCAUAGAAUUUCAAGAGUUAGAAGGCACCUUUUUAAUAGAUGCUAAUACUAGGAGAUUUAUGGUAAUAGGACAGGGACAGCAGGAAACCAGCUAGGGACAAGGCUGGAUCUUAUACUCCACCCCCCACCCCCACUACUUCCUGUCUCUUUCUUAACUGAAUCUAAAGGCUCUUCUCAAAAAUGAUCUCAAGGGCUUCUGGUAUGACGUAUUUGUGACCAAGAGGACCAGCUGCUCCAUCCCACUUAGGAGUCUGAACAAGAGUCUGGCACAACUCCAAGGCAAGACCUGAGAUGAGGAUGCUGGGAACCUUCUCAAAGGGACAAAGCACCAAGGCUAAAGCCUCCUAUAGGCUCCAGGUGGCUCACAGACAGCUGGCUGAAAUAGAUGAGCAUUUUGGCUGCAGUGCAGAAAUCCAGAGCUGCUGGAUGCUCUCCAUUUUUCAAAUAGGGAUUUGUAUCACUUUCAAUACAUUAAUGCUCAAGGCAUUCAAUGGUACAGUCACAUGGGACUACCCAUCAUUUCUUAGAAAUGUCUCAUUUCUUUCUUCUCUGUAAGUAAAUUCUGUAUCCCUGCAUCUCUGCUUGUCGGAAUCCUUCCUACACUAUGAAGCCCAGCUCAAACAUGGUCUCUUCCAUGAUAUAAUGCCCAUCCCAUCAGAAACCACUUUUAAAAUCCAUUGAACUCUUAUACUCCCUCCCUUAAGUACUUAGCAUAUUAUACAUUCAUGUAGAUAUUUAUCCCACUUCCUAGACCAUAAAGAUGUCAGAUUCUUCUUAAUGGCCUGAAGGUUAUGUUGAAAAAAUUCUUGAAAAUUUUGUUAUUUGAGUAUAAGCUUUGGGAUGUCUAACUAAGGCAGAAAGACCAAAUAACAUACUGACUAUUAUUAUCUAGCUAAGUUUGAGAAGUUCUUUAUUAUGUUCAGCAAUUUUGACAAAUGUUGAUUAAGAAUACUCUUUUCUUUCACUCUACUGCAAAUAUGAAUAACAUGGAAAUAGGUUUUGAUCAAUGAUACAUGUAUAACCUGGUGGAAUUGCUUGUUAGCUUCAGGAAGGGGGAGGAAAGAGCAGGGGGGGAAUCAUGAAUCAUGUAACCAUGGAAAAAUAUUCUAAAUAAGAAAAAAACUAAAAAAAAAGAAUAUUCUUUUCUCAUGAGGGGAUGUUCUUCAAGGGGAAUGGCUGAAAAAAUUGUGGUCUAUGAUGCUGAUGGAAUACUAUUGUGCUAUAAGGAAUGGUGAAAUGAUGGACUUCUAUAAGAACUUCCAGAUCUACAUGAACUGAUGCUCAGUGAAAUAAUCAGAACCCAGAGAACAUUAUGCAUGGAGACUAUAACAUAGUGGGAUGAUCAAAUGUAAUUGACUUUGCUACUAAAAGCAAUGCAAUGAUCCAGGACAAUUCAGUAGAACUUAUGAGAAAGCAUGCUAUCCACAUCUAGAGAAAGAACUGUGGGAAUAGAAAUCCAGAAGAAAACAUGUGAUAUCAUUUGUUUAUAUGGGUAUGUGAUUUGGGUUUUGGUUUUAAAAGAUUAUUAUAAAAAUGAAUAAUAUGGAA